AGGGGGAAGGGACGCCGGAGCCGCGGCUGCGUGUGCGUGCGUGCGGCGGUAGGCACGACGUGGGCAUUUGGCGCAACCACGGUGGGUGGUCUAGUGUAUGGAAUGCAAGAUGUACAUUCUUUUUGGACCAUGGAGCACGUUAUUACUGUUUAUACAACUAGAGUGUGCAAGCACCAAGCAGGGACUGAGCUGACACCAGAUGACCAGAUUCGUAUGAUAGUAACAGUUGGCAUAACAAACUGGACCUUGCAGCCUACUACUAGCUAGUUGUAUGUACCUACUCCUUCUAAACGGUAUGACUAGCUAGAGUGUAGCAAUACGCCAAGCUCGGUGCAGGAAUUGGGUUGUUACUUGUAUGAAUAAUGAAUUGUGGUGCAGCUUUUCUUUCACUGUCAAGGUUGCAUUGCAUGCAGUUUUUGGAUACUGUAUAUGAUAACUCAAACCAUACUUCUGUU
Sorghum bicolor (sorghum) is the source of this 455-nucleotide long non-coding RNA. RefSeq lists it as uncharacterized. The record is from RefSeq and is a predicted model, not a curated record. The transcript has 2 exons. Lineage: Eukaryota; Viridiplantae; Streptophyta; Magnoliopsida; Poales; Poaceae.